This 121-nucleotide ribosomal RNA is filed under the name Oncorhynchus mykiss (rainbow trout). The record is from RNAcentral. Lineage: Eukaryota; Metazoa; Chordata; Actinopteri; Salmoniformes; Salmonidae.
GCUUACGGCCACACCGGCCUGAGUACGCCUGAUCUCGUCCGAUCUCGGAAGCUAAGCAGGGUCGGGCCUGGUUAGUACUUGGAUGGGAGGACCGCCCUGGGAAUACCAGGUGCUGUAAGCU